Molecule: ribosomal RNA, 370 nt
Filed under: uncultured bacterium
Lineage: Bacteria
Description: bacterial SSU rRNA
Rfam family: Bacterial small subunit ribosomal RNA
Source: RNAcentral
AUUGAACGCUGGCGGCAUGCCUUACACAUGCAAGUCGAACGGUAACAGGUUAAGCUGACGAGUGGCGAACGGGUGAGUAAUAUAUCGGAACGUGCCCAGUCGUGGGGGAUAACUGCUCGAAAGAGCAGCUAAUACCGCAUACGACCUGAGGGUGAAAGCGGGGGAUCGCAAGACCUCGCGCGAUUGGAGCGGCCGAUAUCAGAUUAGGUAGUUGGUGGGGUAAAGGCCCACCAAGCCAACGAUCUGUAGCUGGUCUGAGAGGACGACCAGCCACACUGGGACUGAGUACACGGCCCUAGACUCCUACGGGAGGCAGCAGUGGGGGAAUUUUGGACAAUGGGCGCAAGCCUGAUCCAGCCAUGCCGCGUGC